CGGGGGGCAGCAGUGGGGAAUUUUGGACAAUGGACGAAAGUCUGAUCCAGCCAUUCCGCGUGCAGGAUGAAGGCCCUCGGGUUGUAAACUGCUUUUGUACGGAACGAAAAGGUCUCUCCUAAUACGAGAGGCUCAUGACGGUACCGUAAGAAUAAGCACCGGCUAACUACGUGCCAGCAGCCGCGGUAAUACGUAGGGUGCAAGCGUUAAUCGGAAUUACUGGGCGUAAAGCGUGCGCAGGCGGUUAUAUAAGACAGAUGUGAAAUCCCCGGGCUCAACCUGGGAACUGCAUUUGUGACUGUAUAGCUAGAGUACGGUAGAGGGGGAUGGAAUUCCGCGUGUAGCAGUGAAAUGCGUAGAUAUGCGGAGGAACACCGAUGGCGAAGGCAAUCCCCUGGACCUGUACUGACGCUCAUGCACGAAAGCGUGGGGAGCAAACAGGAUUAGAUACCCGAGU
This 457-nucleotide ribosomal RNA is filed under the name uncultured Limnohabitans sp. RNAcentral describes it as "bacterial SSU rRNA". It matches the Rfam family "Bacterial small subunit ribosomal RNA", at positions 342 to 791 of the family's 1533-position model. The record is from RNAcentral. Lineage: Bacteria; Pseudomonadati; Pseudomonadota; Betaproteobacteria; Burkholderiales; Comamonadaceae.